RNAcentral lists this unclassified non-coding RNA (230 nucleotides) under plant metagenome. Its description in RNAcentral is "partial contains small subunit ribosomal RNA, internal transcribed spacer 1, and 5.8S ribosomal RNA". The record is from RNAcentral.
UCUCCGUUGGUGAACCAGCGGAGGGAUCAUUACAGAGUUGCAAAACUCCCAAACCAUUGUGAACGUUACCUAUCCCGUUGCUUCGGCGGGCGGCCCGGGCCCCGCGCCCGGCGCCCCCCGGCCCCCCGUGGCGCCCGCCGGAGGUAAACCAAACCCUUGAAUUGCGUGGCCUCUCUGAGUCUUCUGUACUGAAUAAGUCAAAACUUUCAACAACGGAUCUCUUGGUUCUG